Molecule: ribosomal RNA, 253 nt
Filed under: uncultured bacterium
Lineage: Bacteria
Description: partial 16S ribosomal RNA
Rfam family: Bacterial small subunit ribosomal RNA
Source: RNAcentral
UCCGAAGGGGGCUAGCGUUGUUCGGAAUUACUGGGCGUAAAGCGCACGUAGGCGGAUUCUUAAGUCAGGUGUGAAAUCCCGGGGCUCAACCUCGGAACUGCAUUUGAAACUGGGAAUCUAGAGACCAGGAGAGGUUAGCGGAAUACCGAGUGUAGAGGUGAAAUUCGUAGAUAUUCGGUGGAACACCAGUGGCGAAGGCGGCUAACUGGACUGGUACUGACGCUGAGGUGCGAAAGUGUGGGGAGAAAACAGG